GUAAGGUCUUAUCUUAAUUAAAGUAUCUGAGUUGCAUUCAGGAGAUGUAAAUUAAUAUUUUACAGAUCUUACA
Molecule: transfer RNA, 73 nt
Filed under: Sphenophryne schlaginhaufeni (Wandolleck's land frog)
Lineage: Eukaryota; Metazoa; Chordata; Amphibia; Anura; Microhylidae
Description: Liophryne schlaginhaufeni (Wandolleck's land frog) tRNA-Ala
Source: RNAcentral